CCUACGGGUGGCUGCAGUGAGGAAUAUUGGUCAAUGGACGAGAGUCUGAACCAGCCAAGUAGCGUGAAGGAUGACUGCCCUAUGGGUUGUAAACUUCUUUUAUAUGGGAAUAAAAUGUUCCACGUGUGGGCUUUUGUAUGUACCAUAUGAAUAAGGAUCGGCUAACUCCGUGCCAGCAGCCGCGGUAAUACGGAGGAUCCGAGCGUUAUCCGGAUUUAUUGGGUUUAAAGGGAGCGUAGAUGGGUUGUUAAGUCAGUUGUGAAAGUUUGCGGCUCAACCGUAAAAUUGCAAUUGAUACUGGCAGCCUUGAGUACAGUUGAGGUAGGCGGAAUUCGUGGUGUAGCGGUGAAAUGCUUAGAUAUCACGAAGAACUCCGAUUGCGAAGGCAGCCUACUAAACUGCCACUGACAUUGAUGCUCGAAAGUGUGGGUAUCAAACAGGAUUAGAUACCCGGGUAGUC
This 460-nucleotide ribosomal RNA is filed under the name uncultured bacterium. RNAcentral's name for it is "partial 16S ribosomal RNA". It matches the Rfam family "Bacterial small subunit ribosomal RNA", at positions 338 to 795 of the family's 1533-position model. The record is from RNAcentral.